Molecule: ribosomal RNA, 161 nt
Filed under: uncultured bacterium
Lineage: Bacteria
Description: partial 16S ribosomal RNA
Rfam family: Bacterial small subunit ribosomal RNA
Source: RNAcentral
UAGGGAAUUUUCGGCAAUGGGGGAACCCUGACCGAGCAACGCCGCGUGAAGGAAGAAGGAAUUCGUUCUGUAAACUUCUGUUAUAAAGGAAGAAAGACGGAUGGAGGAAAUGACAUCCGAGUGACGGUACUUUAUGAGAAAGCCACGGCUAACUACGUGCC